CUAAGGUGGUGCAAGCAGCGAGGGAAAAAGGAAGGGGGCAAGCGUUGUUCGGAAUCAGAGUGCGUAAAACGCGAGCAGGCGGAUAAGAAAGGCAGAUGUGAAAUCUCGAAGCUCAAGUGCGAAACUGCGUCUGAAACUGCUAGUCUAGAAUGUCGGAGGGGGCAGGGGAAUGUCACGGGUAGGGGUAAAAUCCGUAGAGAUGUGAAGGAACACCGGAGGCGAAGGCGCCUGCCUGGACGACUAUUGACGCUGAGGCGCGAAAGCGUGGGGAGCAAACAGGAUUAGAUACCCGAGUUAGUC
This 300-nucleotide ribosomal RNA is filed under the name uncultured Vulcanithermus sp. RNAcentral describes it as "bacterial SSU rRNA". It matches the Rfam family "Bacterial small subunit ribosomal RNA", at positions 497 to 795 of the family's 1533-position model. Lineage: Bacteria; Thermotogati; Deinococcota; Deinococci; Thermales; Thermaceae. The record is from RNAcentral.